UCCCUGAUGUUAGCGGCGGACGGGUGAGUAACACGUGGGUAACCUGCCUGUAAGACUGGGAUAACUCCGGGAAACCGGGGCUAAUACCGGAUGCUUGUUUGAACCGCAUGGUUCAAACAUAAAAGGUGGCUUCGGCUACCACUUACAGAUGGACCCGCGGCGCAUUAGCUAGUUGGUGAGGUAAUGGCUCACCAAGGCAACGAUGCGUAGCCGACCUGAGAGGGUGAUCGGCCACACUGGGACUGAGACACGGCCCAGACUCCUACGGGAGGCAGCAGUAGGGAAUCUUCCGCAAUGGACGAAAGUCUGACGGAGCAACGCCGCGUGAGUGAUGAAGGUUUUCGGAUCGUAAAGCUCUGUUGUUAGGGAAGAACAAGUGCCGUUCAAAUAGGGCGGCACCUUGACGGUACCUAACCAGAAAGCCACGGCUAACUACGUGCCAGCAGCCGCGGUAAUACGUAGGUGGCAAGCGUUGUCCGGAAUUAUUGGGCGUAAAGGGCUCGCAGGCGGUUUCUUAAGUCUGAUGUGAA
RNAcentral lists this ribosomal RNA (530 nucleotides) under Bacillus sp. (in: firmicutes). RNAcentral describes it as "bacterial SSU rRNA". It matches the Rfam family "Bacterial small subunit ribosomal RNA", at positions 83 to 598 of the family's 1533-position model. Lineage: Bacteria; Bacillati; Bacillota; Bacilli; Caryophanales; Bacillaceae. The record is from RNAcentral.